ACUGCUCAGUAACACGUGGACAACCUGCCCUUAGGACGGGGAUAAACCCGGGAAACUGGGUAUAAUACCCGAUAGGUCUCGAUUGCUGGAAUGCAUCGAGAUUUAAAGCUCCGGCGCCUAGGGAUGGGUCUGCGGCCUAUCAGGUAGUAGUGGGUGUAGCGUACCUACUAGCCUACGACGGGUACGGGUUGUGAGAGCAAGAGCCCGGAGAUGGAUUCUGAGACACGAGUCCAGGCCCUACGGGGUGCAGCAGGCGCGAAAACUUUACAAUGCUGGCAACAGCGGUAAGGGAACCUCGAGUGCCAGGUUACAAAUCUGGCUGUCGAGAUGCCUAAGAAGCAUUUCAUAGCAAGGGCCGGGCAAGACCGGUGCCAGCCGCCGCGGUAACACCGGCGGCUCGAGUGGUAACCGUUAUUAUUGGGUCUAAAGGGUCUGUAGCCGGCCGGAUAAGUCUCUUGAGAAAUCUGGCAGCUUAACUGUCAGGCUUUCAGGAGAUACUGUCUGGCUCGAGGCCGGGAGAGGUGAGAGGUACUUCAGGGGUAGGGGUGAAAUCUUGUAAUCCUUGAAGGACCACCAGUGGCGAAGGCGUCUCACCAGAACGGACCUGACGGCAAGGGACGAAAGCUAGGGGCACGAACCGGAUUAGAUACCCGGGUAGUCCUAGCCGUAAACGAUACUCGCUAGGUGUCGGCCACGGUGCGACCGUUGUCGGUGCCGUAGGGAAGCCGUGAAGCGAGCCACCUGGGAAGUACGGCCGCAAGGCUGAAACUUAAAGGAAUUGGCGGGGGAGCACCACAACGGGUGGAGCUUGCGGUUUAAUUGGAUUCAACGCCGGAAAUCUUACCGGGACCGACAGCAAUAUGAAGGCCAGGCUGAAGACUUUGCCGGAUUAGCUGAGAGGUGGUGCAUGGCCGUCGUCAGUUCGUACUGUGAAGCAUCCUGUUAAGUCAGGCAACGAGCGAGACCCCCGCC
RNAcentral lists this ribosomal RNA (972 nucleotides) under uncultured archaeon. RNAcentral describes it as "bacterial SSU rRNA". It matches the Rfam family "Archaeal small subunit ribosomal RNA", at positions 85 to 1058 of the family's 1478-position model. The record is from RNAcentral.